GAAAUGCGAUAAGUAGUGUGAAUUGCAGAAUUCAGUGAAUCAUCGAAUCUUUGAACGCACAUUGCGCCCCUCGGCAUUCCGUGGGGCAUGCCUGUUCGAGCGUCAUCUACACCCUCAAGCUCUGCUUGGUGUUGGGCGUCUGUCCCGCCUCCGCGCGCGGACUCGCCCCAAAUGCAUUGGCAGCGGUUCCUUGCCCCCCUCUUUGCGCAGCACAUUGCCAUUCGAGGCGGCGGCGGCCCGCGUCCAACAAGCUCAACCCCCCCGUCUUUGACCUCGGAUCAGGUAGGGAUACCCGCUGAACUUAAGC
RNAcentral lists this unclassified non-coding RNA (307 nucleotides) under plant metagenome. RNAcentral's name for it is "partial contains 5.8S ribosomal RNA, internal transcribed spacer 2, and large subunit ribosomal RNA". The stretch from base 1 to 105 matches the Rfam family "5.8S ribosomal RNA", at positions 50 to 154 of the family's 154-position model. The record is from RNAcentral.